AGUUUGGGUUCUGAUUCUUUCUUCGUUUAUACCAUAUUGACAAAUCAUGUUUUAGAAUCUUCUCUUAAGUUGCAAAUUAAUACCUUUGUGCCUUCGCACUUUAAUGGUACCUAUGGGUUCACAAGACUCACCCCCAAAUUCAGCUUCUGGCAUGCUACACCAAUUCAUUAUCUCAGACUCCAUUGCUAGUCAAAACCAAUUUCAAAGUCAGAAUUUCAGCGUUUUCGGUCCAGACUUGCGAGGCAGCAACACAUUUUCUCAGUCUCAUGGUGUAUUGCCAAGCAUAAAGUCUCUCGAGGAAAGAAUGUCUAGGUCAAUAGACCUAGUUCAAGUCCCCUUGGCAGUUCAAGAAUCUGAGAUUAGCCAUUCCAGACACUUAAUGGAUCUUCUUGGAGCGGCAAAUGAGACCAAUCAUCAAGCUCAAAGGUUAUCACUGUCUCUUGGUUCUCAGAUGCUUGUUCCCCAAUUUCAGUACAGGCAGAGAUCCUUUAAUUCGGAUCUCAUGAGUCCUAGUUACUUAGUUCCUAGAGAAGAAGUAAGGGAAGCAUAUAAUCUUGGAGGUGAACAAGCAAACGACGGCUAUUCUCUCACUGGUAAUGGAUUUCCUCAAUCAUCAACCUCAUUAAGUAGACCUUCUACUUCUUACGGAACAGAAUCUUUUGCGGUUGCUAUAGGGAAUUCAAGGUAUUUAAAGCCUGCUCAGUCUCUGCUAGAAGAAAUUGUGCAUGUAAGUUGCCGGGCAGUUGAAAUUAGCAAUGAAAAGUACGUUGGGAAAUUAUUUCCUUGUGGCCAAAGAGGAUCUCUAAGACUUUCUUCUGAAUUAAAAGUAGAACGGUGGGAUAUGGGGCUUGUUCAAGCCGAGAAACAUGAACUCCAGCUUACAAUAGCAAAGCUUAUAGCAUUGUUGAAGGAGGUAGAGGGAAGAUAUGAGAAAUACUAUCAUCAAAUGGAAGAAGUGGUAUCAUCAUUUGAGGAAAUAGCUGGUUUAGGAGCGGCCAAAUCCUACACAGCUCUUGCGCUCCAAGCCAUGUCCAAGCAUUUCUGCAACUUGAGAGAUGCCAUAGUGUCCCAAAUCGAUGAGACAAAAAGAAAAUUCUCUCGAGAUUUACCAAAAAUCAGCACAGAAAUGUCACAACUUAGCUUGUUUGAUAAAGAGACCAAACAUAACCGGAUAUCUCUUCGACAGCUUGGAAUGAUGCAAAGCCAAAGGCAAGCAUGGAGACCCAUCAGAGGGUUGCCAGAGACUUCUGUAACCAUCCUUCGCUCUUGGCUUUUUGAACACUUCUUGCACCCGUAUCCAAAUGAUUAUGAGAAACUAAUGUUAGCAUCGCAGACAGGCUUGACAAAGAAUCAAGUAUCAAACUGGUUUAUAAAUGCUCGAGUCCGGCUAUGGAAGCCUAUGAUAGAAGAAAUGUACAAAGAGGAGUUUGCAGAUCACUCAGAGGACUGAAGGAAAAGGUUGAUAGCUAAGUCAGUUCCUUCUUCAAGCUGCGUUUCGUUGUAUCUUUUAUGCAAUAGGAAAUUAACGUCCUCUUUAAUCAUUCAUCCUUGAAAAUCUGAGAACAGUAUAGACCUGUGAUUUCCAGGAAAAGCACAAAUUGCCAUGGGAGCGGAUCCUCCGCAACUAAGCUGUUUCAACUUUUGAUGUUUAUUUCCAUCACUGUUUAAAAAAUUUGGUGAGAGCAACCUGUCCAAGCUAGCAAAUGCUAAGCAGCUUGAUAGGCAUUGAUUACUGCAGUACUAGGACACCUAGGAAUCUUGUCAGUAUCAUACGUGAUGGCCAAUGCAUGUAUGUAACUUGGAUUAUUUGGGAUCGCUCUCAAGACUGAAACGGAUAAAACAUUGGCAUUAAUCCAGAAGGCGUUGAGGAGUACUCCCCCAUGAGUUGUUCAAGAAAUCAAAGCGUAUAUUGGAGUAGAAUUGAAUUAGUUGUUAGCGGUGUUCUUUUCAUUUUCUUUAAUUGUGAUCUUUUGCUUCUGCUGUUAAUUCUUAUUAGGAGUUCUAAUUUGUACACAUAUUGUGGCAGAAUGUAGUUGAAUUUUCCCUGACUUGGAAUGGUUUUGAAAUUAAUCUAAUAUGUUGGAUUAGUGAUGA
This is an RNA transcript of Populus euphratica (Euphrates poplar), 2094 nucleotides long. It is a transcript of the gene named BEL1-like homeodomain protein 11, with no coding region annotated. NCBI's taxonomy places the organism in Eukaryota, Viridiplantae, Streptophyta, Magnoliopsida, Malpighiales, Salicaceae. The record is from RefSeq and is a predicted model, not a curated record. The transcript is spliced from 5 exons.